CUUGAAGGGGGGGUGGGUCCCUCAGCCCGAAUUGCGAGAGGGCAAAGGCUAGGCCGAGGGACCCCACCAGUGCACU
Molecule: microRNA precursor, 76 nt
Filed under: Myotis davidii
Lineage: Eukaryota; Metazoa; Chordata; Mammalia; Chiroptera; Vespertilionidae
Description: mir-9193 microRNA precursor family
Rfam family: mir-9193 microRNA precursor family
Source: Rfam by way of RNAcentral